GGGCCCUUAGCUCAGCGGUUAGAGCUGUCGGCUCAUAACCGAUUGGUCCCUGGUUCGAAUCCAGGAGGGCCCAC
Molecule: transfer RNA, 74 nt
Filed under: Myxococcus fulvus
Lineage: Bacteria; Pseudomonadati; Myxococcota; Myxococcia; Myxococcales; Myxococcaceae
Also listed under: 7 other names
Description: tRNA-Met
Rfam family: tRNA
About the family: Transfer RNA (tRNA) molecules are approximately 80 nucleotides in length. Their secondary structure includes four short double-helical elements and three loops (D, anti-codon, and T loops). Further hydrogen bonds mediate the characteristic L-shaped molecular structure. tRNAs have two regions of fundamental functional importance: the anti-codon, which is responsible for specific mRNA codon recognition, and the 3' end, to which the tRNAs corresponding amino acid is attached (by aminoacyl-tRNA synthetases). tRNAs cope with the degeneracy of the genetic code in two manners: having more than one tRNA (with a specific anti-codon) for a particular amino acid; and 'wobble' base-pairing, i.e. permitting non-standard base-pairing at the 3rd anti-codon position.
Source: RNAcentral